Molecule: long non-coding RNA, 652 nt
Organism: Apis laboriosa (Himalayan honeybee)
Lineage: Eukaryota; Metazoa; Arthropoda; Insecta; Hymenoptera; Apidae
Exons: 4
Source: RefSeq, a predicted model, not a curated record
UUCGAAUCGAUUCGAUCUGAUUCGCGUUCGAUUGAAUUAUUCGAUGCACGUUUCGUGUGCAACAUUUUUAAUUUAAGUUUGACGGGAUCGCGUUCUGUUUUUUUCUCUGGUAUGGUCGAUUCGUGAAUAGAUUUCAAAUGGGACCAAAACGCAUCAGUAAUAACGGUACCAAAAUUAUGUUACUUCAUCGAAUAGAAUGUAUAUCAUCGAUAACAUACGGACAUUAAGAUAGAAAUUAGAUCGGAAAAGCAGUUGACGAAUUGGAUAAAGAUCAAAGAAGAAUCGUGACUUGAAACAACAAAUUCGUACUCUUUCAAUUAUAAUGAAAUAACGACAUGUGAGACAACAUUAGAAAUUAUUAUAACAAUGUUAUCAGCAGGAUCAGAAUGAAAUUUAUUUACUGAUUUUCAAUACACGAAUCAUCACAUAUAUAUGAUUCUAAGUCAUAUAACAUGAUUUUGAAUAACACGGAAUCAAUUAAUCGUAUUAUUCGAGGAUUUCAUAUAUAUCGUAAGUUUGAAAUCAAAUAAAUAGAUAAAACAGAUGAAUAUUACACUGUCAAAAGUAAAUAGAAUCACGUCCUGCAUAAAUCGUUCGAAGUUUGAAUUUCGACAAAAAAAAUGAAAACGAACGAAAAGAUGUUUGAAGCGCG